AGUGAGAUAGUUAAGUGGUAUAACAAUAGAAUCAUAAUCUAUCAAUCAUAGGUUCAAAUCCUAUUCUCAUUA
This 72-nucleotide transfer RNA is filed under the name Blastocystis sp. ATCC 50177/Nand II. RNAcentral describes it as "tRNA-Met". It matches the Rfam family "tRNA". From Rfam's summary of the family: Transfer RNA (tRNA) molecules are approximately 80 nucleotides in length. Their secondary structure includes four short double-helical elements and three loops (D, anti-codon, and T loops). Further hydrogen bonds mediate the characteristic L-shaped molecular structure. tRNAs have two regions of fundamental functional importance: the anti-codon, which is responsible for specific mRNA codon recognition, and the 3' end, to which the tRNAs corresponding amino acid is attached (by aminoacyl-tRNA synthetases). tRNAs cope with the degeneracy of the genetic code in two manners: having more than one tRNA (with a specific anti-codon) for a particular amino acid; and 'wobble' base-pairing, i.e. permitting non-standard base-pairing at the 3rd anti-codon position. The record is from RNAcentral. Lineage: Eukaryota; Bigyra; Opalinata; Blastocystidae.